GAGAGAGACUGGGCCCCCGGCAAGCUGCCCUGGCUUUGUUUACAACAAAAAGCUAUUGUUUGAUGUGGUUGCGCAGCCGGCUCCAAAGCUCCCGCUCCCACAGGAUGUGCUCUGGGUAAAAUGCCAGACGGAGGCCACUGCUGGAUGCGUUCGACCUCGCCAUACUGGGACUCGCAGUCCUCCUGAGGCCUCCGGGGACUUGGGAGAAGUACAUAAAACAACAGCGGUUUGGUGUAUUUUUGUUUUCGUGUCUUUUAUGGGGGGGAAAUGUGCGAGGAGGAAUUCUGUCGCUCCACCAAACAGGUUCGGGCGGCUUCAAACGAGGGAAAAGGUACCAGAUGUGAAACUUUGAAAUUUUGUAGAUAUUUUGACAGCUCGAGUUUAUUUCUUUUCUUUUUUUUUGACCUAAAGACUCUUACAUUUGUCACCGCGUUCUUUAAAUGACACGAUCGCUGUGCGUUCUAAGUAGCGAGAGUCCUAAACUUAUUCAUUUCUCUCCCUCCCGUCGUCUCUUCCCGGGCCUCACUCGCCAAAAACAUAAUGACUUUCCCAGUUCCGUUCCCUCUUGGGGAGAUUUCUCUUUCCGCCACCAGCCGCUCUUUUCUCUGCCAGGUCUCUGCCGUCGAGCCGCACGCCACCAGAGCAACGCAAACCCUCGUUGUGUCACGACGGUCCGAUCCAAGCAAAUUCAGGCCACGUGCAGGAUGCGUCGGAGGAGCCCGCUGGCGUUCCAAGCGCUGUAUUAAUCUUUCAUCGCUCGCCCUUGGAGCGGUGUCCGGUUGAAUGCUCGGCUGGAAAUGAUGAACAAACGGCGAGACGAUGAUAUCGCGGGUGUAUCAAAAGCACAAUGGGCUUCUUUUUAAUUGCUGAAGUCGCACACGAGUAGGAAGAAAAUGGGGCUAAAAACGUUUCAGGCCACGCGGGCGAAGCGUUUCCAGGUGAGGCUCUUUAAAUGGCUGCUGAAGCUUUGUUGGUGCGUAUUUUGGCAGCGAGUCAUUUCAGAGAUUGUUUAGCUCCUCUGGUGUUGGUGCCUAUUCCCAUUUUUUCGCUUUGCAGUCACACAAAAGAAAAAAAGGUGGGAGGACCGACGGCGGCAAUCAGGACUUGGCGUCGCUCGCGAGCCUCAAAGGUCGCCUGUAACAGUAGCCGGCGUACGGCGACGACGUGCCCGCAGCAACGCUGGGAAAGCAGAGAAACAUGCGCGCGCGAGCCAAGCUCGAAAUCCCUCCUGACGAUCGCCCUUUUUCCUGCACCCAGGGCCAGAUAAAAGGGGGGGUGGGGGGGGGGGUGUUGAUGCCUCUACUGCCCCCCGGAGGCCCCCCGGCCUCACUGGCAGGAAGGCGGGAACCGUCUUCAAGGCCGCUCUUCAAGCGCAGCACUAAUAGCUCGCGUGUUACAUAAAGAACUCCCCGUUGGCCGAUGACGUGGGUUUGGAUUUUGAGUCUAACGUGAUGAUUUACUGCCUUUGGAGAAACAGGGCAUGUAGACAAGAGGUACGAGGUACAGUAAGUCCCGACUGCUUCAUGCGGGACCGAUUUAAUUUUUCAUGUCGGUGUAAGUACGGAGCAAUCGAGGCUACCUGCAAAGUCCUCGAGGAAUCCAAAGAAACAAGUCACGAACGAAUUAAAGAGGCUUUCUGUCCUUCCUGUUAAGAAGUGACGGCUCUGGCAGAGGAAUAUAGCACAAAUGAUGAGACGGGACAUAAAGGAAAAGCCACUGACACAGAGACUAUUUAAUGCCUGUUCUGUUCCUUUUUUCUUUCUCUCUGCACAAGUUUGUCACGACAGUUUACAGCCGAACGUUUCGUCUUUCAGCAGUCACGGCUGGAAUUAAUGGAGCCUUAAACACAGGCAGCUGUGAAUUUUCUGUGCUGCGGCUUGUGGCGUUGGGAAUAAUAGCUGUUGUUCUCAUACGAUGAAACAUCCCUCAUCAGCGUCGUCUUUCGCCUCGAGAACGAGGAAGCGGACGGAGAGGCGCGCGAACCCCGGCGCGACAAUCAAAUCGUUCCCGAUGAAAGAAAACAUAUAUAAAUACGCGAGGCCGAGGAGACAUCUGAUUGGCAUGUUGCGUCGGCGCUUUCAAAAACCAAUAAGGGCUAAUAAAAAUGUAUGCAACGUGUGAAGUCAUUAUGCAAACACAAAGCUUUCUGUUUCGCGGCCAACUGUCACAUGUGAAUGAUUGAUGCUCCUUCUUGUUUAUUAGAUAUCACUGACAGAAAGCACCAGCACAUUUAUUUUCUUCCAUUGAUAUGCAGCGGCUCUCUUAAUGCUUCCCGCAGCGCCGUGAUGAGUCAGGGCGAAUCUAUACGCUGAAUAUAAAUAAGAUUGCACACCCGCAGAGCCCCCCGUGGUCGCGGUGCGCCCCUCCCUCCUCAGCAGCGGGGGCCCCCGCGCCGCAGGGCCGGAAUUCUGCCAGUUUGAACUGUCGGCGACACCGAGCGGCACCUGCUGAAUCCGCCCUCCCCGACCCCCGGCGGCGCCGGUCAACAUCACCGGGAGCCCGUUCCGCUCCGUGCAUCCAGGACAGCUGGUCACGGCUGAGAAUAACCACCAUCACAAGCUUUCCACCUGCCGAUCAAUAACCCCCCCCAACCCCCAACCCGCCUGCGGUCAACCAAGUCCACGCCUGCUGGCCUUGACCCAAAGCCCCCCCGCCCUCCCCGCAUCCCUGGUUUUAAUCCCAAAUCAAACAUCUCAGUGAUCCCUGGAUGAGGUCCUCUGCCCGUGGUUCCUUGUUUAAACACUUGUAUGCCGUCAUGUUUCGGGUAAAUCAUCCACUUUUUCCAUUGUAUACGUUUCCCAAACAAUCUAAAAUAAUUGCUCUUUUCCCGGCAGAUCCGAUUUAACUGGAUUCAUGCUUUGCUGUGUCUGCGUGAACAUACAGGUGGUGGUGGGAGGGGGGCUGGGGGCGGGGGGUCAAGGGUAACCGUAGAUCAAACUACGCGCUUCGCAGGCCCGCGUGUCGGUGGGAAAGGUCAUUUCCUCAUCGACUUCUGUACCGUCUGACUUCUUCUACACCCGGAGGAGUCGCCCCCCCCCCGGACGGCCGUUAGAGGACGGACGCCACAGACGUCGGCGUUGCAGCUGAUAAAAGCUCGUAUUGAUCCACGCCGCCUCUUAGUAUUCCUCAUACAUCGCGGCUUGGCCGACCGGAGAGGUACAUCGCGUCGUUUCAGGAUCACGUUGACACGGCUUCAUAUCAGACUCGAGAAGUAUUGUUGACAUCCAGGUCGCCGCCGUCUCCCACGCGGUCGCCGUGUGUUUCUUUUUUGUUGGAAUUUAUUACAGAGGCUUUCAAGUCAAGAAAAGAAUACAGACAGCCGCCCGUGUAGCAACGACUAUAUUUGUUUUUCGGCCAUUGUACGACAAAAAAACCCCCAAAGAAUGAGCAUUGAUAUUCCCCAUUUACAUAUUUCUUUGAGCCCUUAAUUACAGUGUGUCUGUUCUGUAAAGAAAAAAAGCUUGCACAGGUGUGACAGAACAACAAUGGAGGGCAUUUUCUUGGGCGAGUGACAUUCCCGACACGUUAUUGCUCUUGUCCGACCGGCUCGUUUCCAGCCAAUGUGGGUAUUAUCCUGCAUGAGGGUGUUUGACAGCUCCAUUGCUUUUAAAACUGCGAUUAGGAUAAUUGCAUAGGAGCGCUUUUCUGCUGAAACAGAGGACAACUUGGACCAUGGCACUGGAAUUUCAAUCAGGCUCAUAUACAAGAUCUCUCCUUUCUGUACUGGAGAGGCCAAAACUUUGGCCGUGGGAAAGAAAAUUACCAUCAUGUGAAAUACAUCUGAAGUUCAGCACCACUUUGCAAAGAAUCCAAUGUCAAGCAGCAGAGAAACGCAAUAUAAGAAUAAUUGAUGAUACACAAGUCUCAAUGGAACGGCAUCCAUAUGAAACCCAAUGAUUAUGUGGGCAAAGCCUGAUUGCAAUAGCGGCCAAUGAGAAGAUGAAGAAGAAUGUGGUACAAUGUGACCUCCACCGUGACGCCUUUGAAACGCCUCUGACCUUUAAGUGAUGGCGAAAGGAAACGUAAGAGGAACACAAGUCUAAUGGACGCAGUGGAAGCGUUGAGGUGGAUUCUGACUAAAAUAACCAAAUCACGCUAUUAAACACGGCAAACAGGGUUUGCUGACUUUGGACGGAUGAUGUAUAAGGUGUAUAAACACAUGGAUGGAUGAAUGAUAGAUGGAUGAAUAGAUGAAUGGACCGACUGACAGGUGGAUGGAUGAAUGAUAGAUGGAUGAAUAGAUGAAUGGACCGACUGACAGAUGGAUGGACGAAUGAUAGAUGGAUGAAUAGAUGGAUGGACAGACUGACAGGUGGAUGGAUGAAUGAUAGAUGGAUGAAUAGAUGAAUGGACCGACUGACAGAUGGAUGGAUGAAUGAUAGAUGGAUGAAUACAUUAAUACAAUACAGGUACUGUCGUCCAGGCGUUGUUCCUCCGCACACAAAGCAAAGUCCGUUUAACAGCAAAAAUAAAACAGACUUUCUGAGUCUUGUGUGGAAUAAUUUGACCUCAUCCCCAUCCGGCACCUUUUGUGAUGAAGCGAAACACCGACCGCCAGCCUGGGGGGGCCGCCGUCGGCUCGCUCACCUCCCCGAUGCCCGCGAGGCCGAGCGACCGGCGUCCAAAAAACACAAACCGGUGGAGCGCCAGAAGAACGCCCGCGCCUGCAUACGGAUGGACGGAUGGAUAGCGCUUAGGUCGACGGGUUCCUUUCACAUUGCGACCGCCGUAACGUAAGACAAAGCAGCGCUUCACUCAACGAAAACACCAGAUGUUGGUGAUCCAAGCAAGCCGCUCAGCCUCGUGAACAAAAAAACGCGCGGCGAAUUGCUCAGAGCGGCGAAAGCAUCGCAUCGGAUCGACGGAUGACAAAAGUUACUGUCGCGGCGCCAAUAGACGGCGGUGGAGGUGGACGGCGGUGCUGAGAGAGGGGUUCUCACAGCGUACAAAGGGGGAGUUGUUAGUGCUCAUUGGCCCGGCGGGCUGUGCGGAGGCCCGAGGAUAAGCCUGAAGCCAGAGGGGGGGGGCGCGAGGUGAGAGCUCAGACAAUACGGCCGGGCUCUGAGGCAAAGGCAGACUACACCAGAUAAUGUGACACGCAGCAGCAUGUCGGCAACAACAAGACCCUUAUUCGCGAUGUCAGGGGCUUCGUGGGCAGAAUGAGGACGAGAGGUAGAGGCGCCGCGGCGAGAAGCAGAGCGAGCGGCAAGAAAGCUCCCGAGUGGCGUCUUAGGGCAGGUUAGCAAAGGUGCGAAGCUGCCUGCACGGAGGGUAGAUGUCGUAUUUCUUCCUGUCCGAACCCUCUGUGGGGACUGAACGGGGCGGCCGGAUCACAUAAUUGGUUCCAGGAGCGGCGAACGACGCGGGGAGGGACUCGAGCGCGCCCCCGAGAAAAAACUUGACGGUGCGAGCGAGAGAAAAGGGAGGAGAAAAAGAAAAAAAGGGAAAACAAAAUAAAUGCGAGUUGACAGUUAAAAUGGGGGACAGUUAGGCUCAGUGUUGUUACCAUGACAAAGAGAAAAAGAGCACAGUGUGCGCUCCCCGCAUGGAGGGUGAGGAGCUUUAAGCACGGAGCAGCAGGAGGCGAGGAAGUGGCACGCUGGGGGCCUCUCGCCGCGGCCGCUCGGACGCCAAAAUGCGUAGAAGCGCCUCAGCGCCUUUGUUCGAAAGCGACUCGGAUUGAAUUUGCCGCCGAGGAGACAACUAUCAAAAAGAGCAAUAGCUCCUGCGGGCGGGGGGGGGGGCCCUUCCAGGCCUGCAGGAGACAGAUUACCCCUCUGCAGGGGCCAGAAGUGACAUCAUCCGGGACUGGAAGCUGGUAGGAGGAGGAGCCAGCACGGCAAGGAGCGCGCCUCACGCAGCACCUCUGGACGGGCUUCCGGGCCGCUCGCCGUCUGCACACGUUUGACUCCGCCGCCCCGCAUCAAAAGGCCGGCGGGGUUAAUCUCGCCCCGGGGGGAGGGGGGGGGGGGUUAAUCUCGCCCCGUGGUAGCGCCCGAUCCACACAGCCGGAUCUAAUGACACGAGCACGUGAAGCUCCACGUUCCUUCUGUUCAAUACCGAGCCGGACAUCACACACACGCACCACGCACACACACACACACACACACACACACACACACACAAUAAUUGGAUAACUCUGAAUUGAGUGCAGAGUUUAGUUCCUAAAUGUGAUUCCCAGAGCAUUAAAACAUUAGGAUGCAACCUUUUAUUUUUAUUUUUAAAGGGUCUAAAGUAAAUGAUGUAAGUUGAAAUUAAAGUAAAAUGCCCUUUUCUAUUUAGAUAAAUGAAGAUAUGCGCAAUUGAAAGUGGGAAAGUGGAGAAGUAAAACCUCAAUGAAAAACACUAUUCUGCUGGAAUUAUUUCAUCAUUUUCUGCACAGCUUUAAAUAAAAGGCAGCUCACACACACAAAGGAGUGUGGGAGGAAAUAGAGAAUUAUUGAACAGGGAAAAUAGAGAAUACAUAACUAGUUAAAUGUUUAACAAUUUAUUCCCCGAAACCAACAAUAGCAUGUGUGAGUAUAAAGCUUUACUUAUCUUUAUACUCACAAUCAGUAUUUGCUUCAUAUGCACUCACACAAUUAUACUUUUUUAUAUUUUCUCUCUUUUAUUGCUGCAUCGUAUCAAUUAAAUAUCAAUUCACAAAUGCGUGUGUUUCAUGAGCGAGAGGCCACUUGCGCAGAGCGCGACUUCUCCCUGGGUUUUCUAUUAUAAUAAGUAUCAUUGCAUAAAAAGUGCCGUGCCAUCUGCUGGGCUCACGGACCCUCGUCCAAAUAUCAAUGAUUUUCCAAUAAAUCUAAAACUAAUGUUUAUCCCAAGCUGUGACACGAACAGCGGCAGUCGGGUCAUUGAGCCUGGACCCAAUUACCCGAUCAUCCAUCACCAGCCAUUGUCGGCCUCCGCAGCCUCAGAAGCAGCAACACGUGCUAUUUUGUCUUCCCCUCGGCGUUGAUAUCGCCGCUCUGGGGAAUCCACAGAAUCAGCAGCCGCCUCCGCGGCCACGUGGUCCUCACCUCUCGUUUCUUUUGCGAGCGUGACCAAACUCCAAAAGGUCCGCUGCUCCAGAAGCCCACGGUAAGUGAUCCGCACAGCAGCUGCGCCACAACACAACACAGCAGUGCAGUUGCUUUUUUUUU
Gasterosteus aculeatus aculeatus (three-spined stickleback) is the source of this 7136-nucleotide long non-coding RNA. NCBI's taxonomy places the organism in Eukaryota, Metazoa, Chordata, Actinopteri, Perciformes, Gasterosteidae. The record is from Ensembl.